RNAcentral lists this ribosomal RNA (395 nucleotides) under uncultured bacterium. RNAcentral's name for it is "partial 16S ribosomal RNA". It matches the Rfam family "Bacterial small subunit ribosomal RNA", at positions 338 to 730 of the family's 1533-position model. The record is from RNAcentral.
CCUACGGGAGACAGCAGUGAGGAAUAUUGGUCAAUGGACGAGAGUCUGAACCAGCCAAGUAGCGUGAAGGAUGAAUGUCCCAUGGGUUGUAAACUUCUUUUAUAAAGGAAUAAAACGAGGCACGUGUGCCUUUUUGCAUGUACUUUAUGAAUAAGGAUCGGCUAACUCCGUGCCAGCAGCCGCGGUAAUACGGAGGAUCCGAGCGUUAUCCGGAUUUAUUGGGUUUAAAGGGAGCGUAGAUGGGUUGUUAAGUCAGUUGUGAAAGUUUGCGGCUCAACCGUAAAAUUGCAAUUGAAACUGGCAGUCUUGAGUACAGUAGAGGUAAGCGGAAUGCGUAGUGUAGCGGUGAAAUGCUUAGAUAUCGCGAAGAACCCCGAUUGCGAAGGCAGCAUACU